RNAcentral lists this non-coding RNA (29 nucleotides) under Mus musculus (house mouse). The record is from RNAcentral. Lineage: Eukaryota; Metazoa; Chordata; Mammalia; Rodentia; Muridae.
UCAGCUAACUGGAAGCGGAAUAGAGAAGU